Molecule: unclassified non-coding RNA, 253 nt
Filed under: plant metagenome
Description: partial contains small subunit ribosomal RNA, internal transcribed spacer 1, and 5.8S ribosomal RNA
Rfam family: Eukaryotic small subunit ribosomal RNA (bases 1-54)
Source: RNAcentral
GGAAGUAAAAAUCGUAACAAGGUCUCCGUUGGUGAACCAGCGGAGGGAUCAUUACAGAGUUGCAAAACUCCCAAACCAUUGUGAACGUUACCUAUCCCGUUGCUUCGGCGGGCGGCCCGGGCCCCGCGCCCGGCGCCCCCCGGCCCCCCGUGGGCGCCCGCCGGAGGUAAACCAAACCCUUGAAUUGCAUGGCCUCUCUGAGUCUUCUGUACUGAAUAAGUCAAAACUUUCAACAACGGAUCUCUUGGUUCUG